GACAAAAAUAGCCUCAGUGGUGUGGCUUGUGUUCGCAGAGUAAUGUCCUGGGUACGCUAUACUAUUAGGGGAGGCAGCCUGUAUCUUUAAUAACCUACGUUAGUACCUCAUUCUACAGAACACGCCGUAACAAAAUGGUUAUAAAAGUAUUUCUAGCUUCUUCAUCAGGAUCGACAGCGAUCAAAAAGAAGCAACAGGAUGUGCUUGGGUUCCUGGAGGCCCUGAAAGUGGACUACGCUCCAUUGGACAUUGCCUGCAAUGAGGACAACCGCAUGUGGAUGAGGGAAAAUGUCCCUGUGGAGAAAAAGCCCACCAACGGGAUCCCCCUACCCCCUCAGAUCUUCAAUGAAGAGAGCUACUGUGGGGACUACGAGACAUUCUUUGACGCUAAAGAAGACAAUGCAGUGUUUGCCUUCCUGGGUCUGCCACCUCCUCCAGGAUCCAAGGAAGCGAAAGAGGCUGAAAAGGCAUUUAUCCUUGAGAAUGGGCCUGUUGAAAAUGGGACUGUUGAGAUUGAGACCGUUGAGAGUGAGACCGUUGAGAGCGGAACUGAUGAUGCUGAGGAUGAAGAGAACCUUGAAGCUGAGGAGGUUGAGGAGGAGAAUCUUGAUGAUGACUCACUAAAAAGAGUGGUUCCGAUGGAGGAGUUCAAUGGAGAUGAACACACAGAGGAGGUGGAAGCAGAGGUGGGAGGAGAAACAGGAGAGGAGGCAGCAGAAGAGGCCACAGCAGAAGACGCCGCCGCAGAAGAGAAGGUGGCAAAGGAGGAGGAGGAGGCGGUCGAAGACACAGAGGAAGCCACAGAAGACACUAAGCCCCCCGUGAAGCAGGAAGAAGCCCAGGAAGAAGUAGAGGAUGAGGAGGCUAAGGGAGAAGACGAUCAGCCGGUUUCUGAGGUCUGCUGUGGAGGGAUUGCUGGAGAAGAGGAUUUGGGGUCGGAGGAGGAAGAAGAGCUGCGACAGCUUGAGGAAGAAGAAGAGGCCCCAGAGGUAACAGAGGUAUAUUCUGGCUGUGCUCCCAGCCCAUUGCAUGGUGUGGCCCCUGACGUGGAGUAAAUGGAUCCUAUGCAUGACGCUACUCCUUCAUAUGUGGAUUUAGUCAGGAAGAAGAGGAUGAGUAGUAACAGCCAGGAAAGGUUUAGGAUGUGAUUUACUACUGCCCAGCCUCGAGAGACCCCCUGUUCCGAUCCUUCCUGACCCCUCAGACCGUCCCACACCCAUCCCACUACCCACGAUGCCCCCACCUGCUCACUGUGAAUGCACAUGUUCCCCUGCUGGACCCUGCUGGCUGAAACCUGCCAAUCACACACUGUCUGUACGGCUCACCCAUACUCCAGAGAUAACCCCCUGUUUUACCAGAUGUUUAUAUUGUGUAGGGGACUAGGACUAGAGAAGAUGUGUUGCUGUACUUCAUUUGUAUAGCGUUGAGAGUUUAUGGUAGCUUCCAUCCAGUGUGUAGCACAAUUACAUAGUGUUAUCAGUUUUUUUUUUUCAGCAGCUUUUCUAAUUGUACAUACACAGUCAUAUGUUAAGUGUUUUAAAGAUUUCAAACAUACUUCUCAUGUUUCAAAUUGAAAAUUGUAGUUUUAUACCACAGUUUGUAUAGGAUGAUGAGCAUGUCACCACCAACAACUUAGCAGUCAAUGACGGACAGCUAUAACCCUGUGAGAAUCCGAGUGAAGAUCACUCUGAAUGGACUUAUAAUCUCAGACUGAAACAGAUCUAUCAAUGCAGUGCCUCUCACUCGAUGCCAGCAAAUAUGUUAGAUCUAUAUGUGUGAAUGCAACCCAGUGACUCUAUGUCUCAAUCCAACAUGAGAAAGACCCUUGUGUAGGGUUUACACUAGCUUUCAUAAGCUAGUGUACAAAGUCAGAUUCCAUAAAUUGCUUUUGGUCUUACUUUAAGGUUAGGGUUAACCAUAAGGUUAGCAGUGUGGUUGGGUUGGGUAAAAUAUUAAUUGUAGAAAUGGGUGGGGUUUGGGGCUGUGGAAACUAGUGACAACCCUCAUGUAGCGUGCUUUAUGACUGUGUUUGCAGCUACUGGACACCAUUCACUGAACGUUACUAUCUGCUGAUCUACUGUGCACUUUGUUGAAUGUAAAAUGAUGUGGAUGACUAAGAGAUCCCCCUAGAUGUAAGAGAAGUGAAAUGCCAAUAAAGUUGAAUGGUGUGAACAGCU
This is an RNA transcript of Oncorhynchus tshawytscha (Chinook salmon), 2177 nucleotides long. It is a transcript of the gene named SH3 domain-binding glutamic acid-rich-like protein, with no coding region annotated. Lineage: Eukaryota; Metazoa; Chordata; Actinopteri; Salmoniformes; Salmonidae. The transcript is spliced from 14 exons. The record is from RefSeq and is a predicted model, not a curated record.